RNAcentral lists this ribosomal RNA (527 nucleotides) under uncultured bacterium. RNAcentral's name for it is "bacterial SSU rRNA". It matches the Rfam family "Bacterial small subunit ribosomal RNA", at positions 8 to 526 of the family's 1533-position model. The record is from RNAcentral.
AGAGUUUGAUCAUGGCUCAGAUUGAACGCUGGCGGCAGGCCUAACACAUGCAAGUCGAACGGUAACACAGAGAGCUUGCUCUUGGGUGACGAGUGGCGGACGGGUGAGUAAUGCCUGGGAAAUUGCCCAGUCGAGGGGGAUAACAGUUGGAAACGACUGCUAAUACCGCACACGCCCUACGGGGGAAAGCAGGGGACCUUCGGGCCUCACACCAUCGGAUGUGCCCAGAUGGGAUUAGCUAGUAGGUGGGGUAAUGGCUCACCUAGGCGACGAUCCCUAGCUGGUCUGAGAGGAUGACCAGCCACACUGGAACUGAGACACGGCCCAGACUCCUACGGGAGGCAGCAGUGGGGAAUAUUGCACAAUGGGCGCAAGCCUGAUGCAGCCAUGCCGCGUGUAUGAAGAAGGCCUUAGGGUUGUAAAGUACUUUCAGUUGGGAGGAAGGCGUUGAUGCUAAUAUCAUCAACGAUUGACGUUACCAACAGAAGAAGCACCGGCUAACUCCGUGCCAGCCGCCGCGGUAAUUC